UUCUUGAAAUCUAUAAAAAGUAAUCUCCUGCCCAGUGAAUACUUAUUUAAACGGCCGCGGUAUUAUAACCGUGCAAAGGUAGCAUAAUAACUUGCCCAUUAAUUGUGGGCUAGAAUGAAUGGGGUAACGAAAUAAGAACUGUCUCAAUAAAUUCAAUAAAAACUAAUAUCCAAGUGAAGAAGCUUAGAUUUAAAUAAAGGACAAGAAGACCCUAUAGAGCUUUAUUUAUACUACAUACUCUAUGUAUACAAAUUCGGUUGGGGCGACCAAGGAAAAAUCAUCCUUAACUUUAUAGACAUAUAUGUCUAAACAAUGAGCCUUUAAAAGAUCAAUAAAACAAGCUACCUUAGGGAUAACAGGCUAAUCCUAUUAUAGAGCCCUUAUCAACAAUAGGGAUUGGCACCUCGAUGUUGGCUUAGAAUAUCUCUAUGGCGCAAAAGUCAUAUAAAGAAGGUUUGUUCAACCUAUAACAUUC
This 475-nucleotide ribosomal RNA is filed under the name Henlea petushkovi. Its description in RNAcentral is "partial 16S large subunit ribosomal RNA". It matches the Rfam family "Bacterial large subunit ribosomal RNA", at positions 1829 to 2596 of the family's 2925-position model. The record is from RNAcentral. Lineage: Eukaryota; Metazoa; Annelida; Clitellata; Enchytraeida; Enchytraeidae.